RNAcentral lists this ribosomal RNA (492 nucleotides) under uncultured bacterium. RNAcentral's name for it is "partial 16S ribosomal RNA". It matches the Rfam family "Bacterial small subunit ribosomal RNA", at positions 29 to 507 of the family's 1533-position model. The record is from RNAcentral.
AGUGAACGCUGGCGGUAGGCCUAACACAUGCAAGUCGAACGGCAGCACAGUAAGAGCUUGCUCUUACGGGUGGCGAGUGGCGGACGGGUGAGGAAUACAUCGGAAUCUACUUUUUCGUGGGGGAUAACGUAGGGAAACUUACGCUAAUACCGCAUACGACCUACGGGUGAAAGCAGGGGAUCUUCGGACCUUGCGCGAUUGAAUGAGCCGAUGUCGGAUUAGCUAGUUGGCGGGGUAAAGGCCCACCAAGGCGACGAUCCGUAGCUGGUCUGAGAGGAGGAUCAGCCACACUGGAGCUGGGCCACGGUCCAGACUCCUACGGGAGGCAGCAGUGGGGAAUAUUGGACAAUGGGCGCAAGCCUGAUCCAGCCAUACCGCGUGGGUGAAGAAGGCCUUCGGGUUGUAAAGCCCUUUUGUUGGGAAAGAAAAGCAGCAGGUUAAUACCCCGCUGUUCUGACGGUACCCAAAGAAUAAGCACCGGCUAACUUCGUG